This 566-nucleotide ribosomal RNA is filed under the name Wenyingozyma naganishii. RNAcentral describes it as "eukaryotic LSU rRNA". It matches the Rfam family "Eukaryotic large subunit ribosomal RNA", at positions 62 to 648 of the family's 3401-position model. The record is from RNAcentral. Lineage: Eukaryota; Fungi; Ascomycota; Pichiomycetes; Pichiales; Pichiaceae.
AAACCAACAGGGAUUGCCUUAGUAGCGGCGAGUGAAGCGGCAAGAGCUCAAAUUUGAAAUCUGGCAUCUUCGAUGUCCGAGUUGUAAUUUGAAGAAUUCGAUCUUGGAGUUGGCCCUUGUCUAUGUUCCUUGGAACAGGACGUCACAGAGGGUGAGAAUCCCGUGCGAUGGGGUGUCCAAUUCUAUGUAAGACGUUUUCGAAGAGUCGAGUUGUUUGGGAAUGCAGCUCAAAGUGGGUGGUAAAUUCCAUCUAAAGCUAAAUAUUGGCGAGAGACCGAUAGCGAACAAGUACUGUGAAGGAAAGAUGAAAAGAACUUUGAAAAGAGAGUGAAAAAGUACGUGAAAUUGUUGAAAGGGAAGGGUAUUCGAUCAGACUGGUAUUUAGUUAUCUUUGCUCCUUGUGGGUGAGGCUCUAACUUUUUACUGGGCCAACAUCAGUUUUGGUGGCGAGAUAAUGACAUUAGAAUGUAACUCCUUCUGGAGUAUUAUAGCUCUUGUUGAUAUCGCCUACCGGGACUGAGGUCUGCGGCUUUGCCUAGGAUGUUGGCGUAAUGAUCCAAUACCGC